AGUGGCUAGUUGUGCUCCCCU
Molecule: microRNA, 21 nt
Filed under: Pteropus alecto (black flying fox)
Lineage: Eukaryota; Metazoa; Chordata; Mammalia; Chiroptera; Pteropodidae
Description: pal-miR-449c-3p
Gene: pal-miR-449c-3p
Source: miRBase by way of RNAcentral